RNAcentral lists this small nuclear RNA (162 nucleotides) under Carlito syrichta (Philippine tarsier). RNAcentral describes it as "U1 spliceosomal RNA (ENSTSYG00000030753.1)". It matches the Rfam family "U1 spliceosomal RNA". Rfam says of the family: U1 is a small nuclear RNA (snRNA) component of the spliceosome (involved in pre-mRNA splicing). Its 5' end forms complementary base pairs with the 5' splice junction, thus defining the 5' donor site of an intron. There are significant differences in sequence and secondary structure between metazoan and yeast U1 snRNAs, the latter being much longer (568 nucleotides as compared to 164 nucleotides in human). Lineage: Eukaryota; Metazoa; Chordata; Mammalia; Primates; Tarsiidae. The record is from Rfam by way of RNAcentral.
AUAGUUAUCUGGCAGGGGAGAUACCAAGAUUACGAAGGUUGUUUUCCCAGGGUGAGGCUUAUCCAUUGUACUCCAGAUGUGCUGACCCCUGCUAUUUCCCCAAAUGUGGAAAACUCGACUGCAUAGUUUGUGGUAGUGGGGGACUGUUUGCACUCUCCCCUG